GACGAACGCUGGCGGCGUGCUUAACACAUGCAAGUCGAACGGAAAGGCCCUGCUCUUGUGGGGUGCUCGAGUGGCGAACGGGUGAGUAACACGUGAGUAACCUGCCCUUGACUUUGGGAUAACUUCAGGGAACUGGGGCUAAUACCGGAUAGGAGCUACUGCUGCAUGGUGGGGGUUGGUAAGUUUCGGCGGUUGGGGAUGGACUCGCGGCAUAUCAGCUUGUUGGUGGGGUAGUGGCUUACCAAGGCUUUGAAGGGUAGCCGGCCUGAGAGGGUGACCGGCGUCAUUAGGCCUGAGAUACGCAGCAGAAGCCAACGGGACGCAGCAGUGGAGAAUAUUGCAGAGUGGGGGGAAGCGUGAUGCGGCAACCCCGCGAGCGGGAUGACGGGCUUCGGGUUGUAAACCGCUGUCGCCUGUGACGAGGCGUGAGUGACGGUAAUGGGUAAAGAAGCACCGGCUAACUACGUG
Molecule: ribosomal RNA, 468 nt
Filed under: uncultured bacterium
Lineage: Bacteria
Description: partial 16S ribosomal RNA
Rfam family: Bacterial small subunit ribosomal RNA
Source: RNAcentral